Molecule: unclassified non-coding RNA, 208 nt
Filed under: uncultured Cortinarius
Lineage: Eukaryota; Fungi; Basidiomycota; Agaricomycetes; Agaricales; Cortinariaceae
Description: sequence contains ITS2
Source: RNAcentral
AUAUAUCAACCUCUUCAGCUUUUGCUUGUUGAGUGCUGGAUGUGGGGGGCCUUUUGCUGGUCUUUUUUGAUACAUAAAAGAAGUCAGCUCCCCUAAAAUAUAUUAGCAGAACAAUUUGUUGAUCGUUCAUUGGCAUGAUAAUUAUUUAUGCUAUUGACGUGAGGCAGUUUAGCUUCUAACAGUCUAUUGGCUUGGACAAUUUUCAUUA